CUGCGCAGUAAAAAUAUGAAACCUGUCCACGGAUUCGACGCUUUGGAGACUCCACGAUCUUGCAACUCCUAUCCCACCAACUGACCAACCCACGUUCAAAAUCCACAAAAUACACAAUUACAAUUCACAUUUUUGGUGAUCAGAUCGGCACAAAAUAUUGCUUUGUUUUUGUUCUUUUGCGGUCGUAUCCUGUGGGUCUCUUUGACUCUCCAAAAUCAGUUUCUCAGACAUGAAAGGGGCCUAAGAUAGAGCGGGGCAUAAUUGUGUUGUUGUCGAUCAGUCUAGGUUUGUGAUUGUGUUGUUCAUUGGGAUUUUUUUUAUUUAUUAUUAUUUUUGUGAAAUUGUAGGUUCGUGGCAUUGUUUGCUGGUGGAGCUCUGUUGUUGUUCUCUGCCAUCGGAAGGUUCAGUCAUUACUCAUCAAAGGGAGUUGUUUUGGGUUUUUUUCUUUGUGUUUGGAUACACAGUGUUCGAAAGUGUAAUUUUAUUGUUUUGGCUAGCUCCUCACAUCUUCUUUGCGCUUCUUGAAAUUAUAUGUAGUAUAUAAUAUGUAGUUUAUCCACCUUGAAAUUAUUAUACUAAAAAUAUAUGUAGUAUAUAAUGUGUAUAAAAGUGUUAUAUAAUGUGUAGUUUAUGUGCACGACAAGUAUUUGAUAUUGCUUUUGCUAAUCUGUAUUUGUAAUGGGCAGUCUUUUGGGGAUAGUUGUUUACAUGCAGAUAAUCCUCCGCCAUCUGCUCCACGGGUAACUUCUCCAAGUGUAUUUCCUUCUGUGAAUUACACAGAAAUUUAUUUUGCUGAGAAUAGUAUGGAUUGCUGCUUACCAAUUGGAAAGGAAUAUUAAGUUAAUGUUACUGAAAAACCGAAUCACUUUAAAGAACAUGCCUAACAAAAAGAAUGAGAAUGGAGUAAUUGGAUGAAAUGCAUUGAAGAAAUGGAAAUGGAAUAUAGACUACAUUCUGCAAAUUAGAUCUAAAAAAAUAGUGAGAAGUUCAGUAAAAUAGACUUCAAUGUGUAGUGCUUCUUGAGUUGUUUCAAAAUAUUCAUUGGAUUCUAACUUUCAUCUCAUGAUCACAUAUUAUUGUGGAUUUUUUCAGUAGUUGUUCUUUUUGUUUCUUCUGCUGGAUCUUUUAGCAUUUAUAUAGAUUAUGCACUACUCUCGGAAGCAAGGCAAUGAACAAUAUUUCUUUCCAGAGAUUCCUUCAUUUUUUAAGUACAUCCACAAUAAUCGUCAGGUUUUGUGGCUUACAUCAAUUUGGGAUCUUACUAUGUUUUUGGUAUUCCUCUAGGAUCAUAUGUGUGUUGUGUAUCUCUCUCUCUCUCUCUCUCUCUCUAUAUAUAUAUAUAUAUAUAUAUAUAUAUAUAUAUAUAUAGAUAUAUCAAAGUUUAAUCUAAGUCUGCAUUUGUAAGCAUGUUUUAUGGGAAACUACUGAUGGUGAAUAGGAAACACUUGAACUUUUGAAUCUCAUAACUUAUUUCAACCUAAAAAGAUUACGACAGAGAUUUAAUUUAUCCCAAUUUUGAAUUUUAUCUUGCAAGGUUUAUGGAGAAGAAUGAUAGCAGGACUUGCUUUGCAGACACUGCUUCUCUCAUUUAAAGUAGCAGGCACUGCUAUUGUAUGACUAUAUAAUGAGGCCUAUAACUAACUGACAACUUCUUUCUUGAAUAUUUUUUGUGAUUGAGAUAAUUCCUUCCUUUUAGUUAUAAUCGCCAGCUAAUUGCUCUAAGAGAUCUCCUGGGAAUUCAACUUUCUUUAUGGAUACAUUAACAUACACUAUUUUGAUUAUAGUAUGAGUAUUGUCAUUCAAAUCCUAUUGUAGCUUCCACUGGUCUUUGUAGUGAUCACAUGAAAAGAACUCUGCAGGAAUUAGGAAGCUUAGUAAAGCUUAUGUACGGGAAAAAGGAAAAAAAUCAUUUCAAAUUUUAAAUAUAAGCAUUUGCUGAAUUUGAAUUUUUUAUGAUGGAAUUUCAAAAUAAGUAGUCCUCAUUGUUUGUGUAAUCGUCGCCACCCUGUUUCUACUAUCCACAGGGGUCUUCCCUUUGCUACAGAGGAGAACGAGGAAAAGGAUAUUCUAAAGGAAAUAGAUGGAGGUAAAUAUCUCUCGCUCUCUCUGUCAAAUAAUAGUGUUACAUUUUCCUAUUAACUUUGGACCAUAUGAUUGUGCUGCGAUUAAAUUUAGAAGACUGGAGCAGAUUAUCAAUUUCAAUGUCAGUUCCCCUUUUUAUCGAGUUCUUGCAUGUAACUUCUCCUUCUUCUUUUUCCAUCUAUUGCUAUAAUCUUGCAUAUAGCGUUUUCACAGUCUUUUGGUUAUUAUUAGUUAUACUUGACUCAAUUUUGGCUAAAUGGAAUUACCCGACGUUGUUUGCGAAGGAA
This is a long non-coding RNA of Lycium barbarum (goji berry), 2369 nucleotides long. RefSeq lists it as uncharacterized. The record is from RefSeq and is a predicted model, not a curated record. The transcript is spliced from 2 exons. NCBI's taxonomy places the organism in Eukaryota, Viridiplantae, Streptophyta, Magnoliopsida, Solanales, Solanaceae.